Molecule: long non-coding RNA, 1253 nt
Organism: Vespula vulgaris
Lineage: Eukaryota; Metazoa; Arthropoda; Insecta; Hymenoptera; Vespidae
Exons: 2
Source: RefSeq, a predicted model, not a curated record
AACCAAUCAGAAACGAUUAUUUCUGAUAACUAACCUUUCAUAAAAUAGUAGCAUUUCCUGUAAUCCAGUCCAAUAUAAUCAAAAAAUAGUUUUAGAACGUUACUUUUAUACAUUGCAAAUAUAUUGACAGUAUUUGGACAAAUUCAUUUCGUUAAUAUGGAUACGAUUAAUACGCUUUGCAAUAAAUGAUGAUUGUUCGUUAUUAGAAGAUGGAAAGAUAGAUCAUAAAAUUUUCUUUUGAAACGUGUACCUUUUCUCGUUGCGACGUGCAAUCUCAUAGGAAACGGCAAAGAUUACCCACCGUGAGAAUGUAAAGGUACCAUUCGGUACCACUCUCUGACGACGUCAGCAAACAAGCACUCGUCUCUUUUUAAAGCGAAGAGAGACACGGAAUAAAAAACAAUGCGUGCUUCGAACGUUCCCGGUGAAUCCGUACUUUUUCCUUUUAUCGCACGUAUACACAUUUGUACGUGAAACACUUUCAUUCAGAUAUAUCGUAAAAUAAGAAAGAAAUAAACAGAAAAAAAGAAUACGAAAAACAAUAUAUCUAAAAAGUCAUUACUUCUAAACCACUUAUGGUAGUUACCAAUCUGUCCAUCCAUUCAUCCAUCCAUCCAUCCAUCCAUCCAUCCAUCCAUCCACGCCGUUGUUACUAUGACGUAUAAUAUUUCUACGCGAGGCCGGAUAACGGAAUUUGGAUCCUUGACAUUUUUGAAUUCAGCGGUUCUUCUAUGGUCGAUCGUAGUCAUUGAAUAUUUUCAUUACUCGAUUAAAAGUAACAUAAAUAUUACUCUUUUACUUAGAUUUUUCUUAUUUUUCAUAUUAUCAAUAUUCAUGUUAUGUAAUACUUCACUGAUAUGUGUGCAUCAAUCAAGAAAUAGAUGAAGCGAUGAACUUUCAUUUUUACAAAAAAUUCUAAGUAAACAGUUACAUAUCUUCGUCGUUAGUAUCUGUGUGUGUGUGUGUGUGUGUGUACGUAGAUAGGAGGGGGAGGGGGAGGAUUUGAAAAUGAUAUACUAAUACUAGUUGCACUUUAUAAAAACUUAAAUACACGGAAUCUCGUGGCUUGUGCCGAUCAUUCAGAGAUUUUGUAAAUAUAUGUAUAUGUGUAAUUUCUCUUCCCCUUCCCCAAUGGCUUGGCCUCUCAUAGGUGUCUUUUCUGGUGUAAGAGGAGGUCCUCGAGAUUGGUUCUCCAUAGGUAGAGGGAUUGAAAGAAUAAGGGGGAGACAGAGAGAGAGAGAGAGAGAGAGAGA